This 472-nucleotide ribosomal RNA is filed under the name uncultured bacterium. RNAcentral describes it as "bacterial SSU rRNA". It matches the Rfam family "Bacterial small subunit ribosomal RNA", at positions 8 to 507 of the family's 1533-position model. The record is from RNAcentral.
AGAGUUUGAUCCUGGCUCAGGAUGAACGCUGGCGGCGUGCCUAACACAUGCAAGUCGAGCGAUCUUCUUCGGAAGAGAGCGGCGGACGGGUGAGUAACGCGUGGGUAACCUGCCUCAUACACAUGGAUAACAUACCGAAAGGUAUGCUAAUACAAGAUGAUAUAAGAGAUUCGCAUGGAUUCUUAUCAAAGCUUUUGCGGUAUGAGAUGGACCCGCGUCUGAUUAGCUAGUUGGUAAGGUAAAUGGCUUACCAAGGCGACGAUCAGUAGCCGACCUGAGAGGGUGAUCGGCCACAUUGGAACUGAGACACGGUCCAAACUCCUACGGGAGGCAGCAGUGGGGAAUAUUGCACAAUGGGCGAAAGCCUGAUGCAGCAACGCCGCGUGAGCGAUGAAGGCCUUCGGGUCGUAAAGCUCUGUCCUCAAGGAAGAUAAUGACGGUACUUGAGGAGGAAGCCCCGGCUAACUACGUG